Molecule: ribosomal RNA, 525 nt
Filed under: Anthomastus sp. TX-2020
Lineage: Eukaryota; Metazoa; Cnidaria; Anthozoa; Scleralcyonacea; Coralliidae
Description: partial large subunit ribosomal RNA
Rfam family: Bacterial large subunit ribosomal RNA
Source: RNAcentral
AGGGUGAAUUCUGCCCAAUGGCUGUAUAGUGAAACUGAGGACUAACGUCUAAAGCGAAACCCAGCUGAAUGGCCGCGGUAACUCUGACCGUGAUAAUGUAGCACAAUAAAUAGCCAAUUAAUUGUUGGCGGGUAUGAAUGGAACCACGAGGGUCUUACUGUCUCAAGAGGAAAGCCGAUGAAAUUAUAAUUGUAGUGAAGAUACUACAUAAACAUUGUAAGACGAAAAGACCCUAUCGAGCUUUACUGGAUGCCGAUAGCGUUAAUUUAGAAUGAUCGAUACUAAGUAUUCUAAUUUUAAGUUAAUAAUUUUUGUUGGCAGGACAGUUUAGUUGGGGCGACUACCUUUGAAUAAGAAACGAAGGCGAGCUUAUGGUAUUAUUUAAAAUCUCAUUAGCCUGACAGUGAGGGGGACACCCCUAGCUGGCACAAGGAAUUACCCAUAUAGUAUAUAAUAUAUACGUAAUGGGCUCCUAUGUGGGCGAUAAUGGCCCGAUAUAAUUAUCCAAAAUAAAUAUCGAAAGCG